CUCGCACUCACAAGUAGGGAGAGAAUGACGCCACGUGGUUCUUUCUCUGUGAUGAGUGCGAAAUUAAAACAUACUUUGUCGCCUUUGACUUGUUAUUGCAUGUCGAAGUGAAUCAAAGUAUGACAGCC
This is a small nucleolar RNA of Copidosoma floridanum, 128 nucleotides long. The record is from RefSeq and is a predicted model, not a curated record. Lineage: Eukaryota; Metazoa; Arthropoda; Insecta; Hymenoptera; Encyrtidae.